RNAcentral lists this ribosomal RNA (600 nucleotides) under Bacillus sp. (in: firmicutes). RNAcentral's name for it is "bacterial SSU rRNA". It matches the Rfam family "Bacterial small subunit ribosomal RNA", at positions 46 to 626 of the family's 1533-position model. Lineage: Bacteria; Bacillati; Bacillota; Bacilli; Caryophanales; Bacillaceae. The record is from RNAcentral.
GCCUAAAACAUGCAAGUCGAGCGGGACAGAUGGGGAGCUUGCUCCCUGAUGUUAGCGGCGGACGGGUGAGUAACACGUGGGUAACCUGCCUGUAAGACUGGGAUAACUCCGGGAAACCGGGGCUAAUACCGGAUGCUUGUUUGAACCGCAUGGUUCAGACAUAAAAGGUGGCUUCGGCUACCACUUACAGAUGGACCCGCGGCGCAUUAGCUAGUUGGUGAGGUAACGGCUCACCAAGGCAACGAUGCGUAGCCGACCUGAGAGGGUGAUCGGCCACACUGGGACUGAGACACGGCCCAGACUCCUACGGGAGGCAGCAGUAGGGAAUCUUCCGCAAUGGACGAAAGUCUGACGGAGCAACGCCGCGUGAGUGAUGAAGGUUUUCGGAUCGUAAAGCUCUGUUGUUAGGGAAGAACAAGUGCCGUUCAAAUAGGGCGGCACCUUGACGGUACCUAACCAGAAAGCCACGGCUAACUACGUGCCAGCAGCCGCGGUAAUACGUAGGUGGCAAGCGUUGUCCGGAAUUAUUGGGCGUAAAGGGCUCGCAGGCGGUUUCUUAAGUCUGAUGUGAAAGCCCCCGGCUCAACCGGGGAAGGUCAU